This 144-nucleotide microRNA precursor is filed under the name Gossypium arboreum. RNAcentral describes it as "MIR7502 microRNA precursor family". It matches the Rfam family "MIR7502 microRNA precursor family". Lineage: Eukaryota; Viridiplantae; Streptophyta; Magnoliopsida; Malvales; Malvaceae. The record is from Rfam by way of RNAcentral.
AAUUAAAACUUAAUCUAUUUCUACUAUUAAAAACUAGUGUGAUUGACGGAAUAACUAAAUAGUUAUAUGUGACGUACUUCGUGUACCUCAUGUUAAUGUACAAGGAUUAGGUUUUAAUACUAAUAAUGAAUGAAAUUUUUAACA